Rosa rugosa (rugosa rose) is the source of this 551-nucleotide long non-coding RNA. RefSeq lists it as uncharacterized. The transcript is spliced from 3 exons. NCBI's taxonomy places the organism in Eukaryota, Viridiplantae, Streptophyta, Magnoliopsida, Rosales, Rosaceae. The record is from RefSeq and is a predicted model, not a curated record.
AUCUCCUCCACCCACUGCCCCCUCCCCCACCCUCUUCUCCGCCUCCCCCUCGCUCUCAUAUCCCAGCUCCUCUUCUCUGCCUCCCUCUCUCUCAUCUCCAAAUUGUUUUGGUUUAAUGGAGGACAGAGGAACUAGAUCUGUUUUCUCUCUCCUCCGACACCCACUUCCGGUCACCACCGUGACUCACCUCCACCAUCACAGACCUCACCGACCUCCGACGAGUUUAACGCAGCCUCCUUGACUUCCGGCAACAACCCGUGAAGGACCCUGUGCUUUUUCUCAAACCGACGUCGUCUUACUUGGAAAACGGAGGCAGUACUCCUGGGCUCGAUAUCGAAGUACUCCCUGAAUCAGGGGCCUUUGUGUUAUGCUUCCUCCACUCUCAGAUGCAACACCAGCACCUCAACACACCCGCUCAUUGUUUUUAGGAAGUAUCUUUUGCACAUGUGGUGAAGGAACUAAUGUCCAUAAAUAGCUUCUAGGAUAUUGUAUUUCCUUUUCGAUUUGCAAUUAAGAAACUAUUUGUAUAUGAUGACUCUAUGAAUAUAAGU